This 1851-nucleotide ribosomal RNA is filed under the name Staphylococcus epidermidis. RNAcentral's name for it is "bacterial LSU rRNA". It matches the Rfam family "Bacterial large subunit ribosomal RNA", at positions 1077 to 2925 of the family's 2925-position model. Lineage: Bacteria; Bacillati; Bacillota; Bacilli; Caryophanales; Staphylococcaceae. The record is from RNAcentral.
GGCGUUGCCCAGACAACUAGGAUGUUGGCUUAGAAGCAGCCAUCAUUUAAAGAGUGCGUAAUAGCUCACUAGUCGAGUGACACUGCGCCGAAAAUGUACCGGGGCUAAACAUAUUACCGAAGCUGUGGAUUGUCCUUUGGACAAUGGUAGGAGAGCGUUCUAAGGGCGUCGAAGCAUGAUCGCAAGGACAUGUGGAGCGCUUAGAAGUGAGAAUGCCGGUGUGAGUAGCGAAAGACGGGUGAGAAUCCCGUCCACCGAUUGACUAAGGUUUCCAGAGGAAGGCUCGUCCGCUCUGGGUUAGUCGGGUCCUAAGCUGAGGCCGACAGGCGUAGGCGAUGGAUAACAGGUUGAUAUUCCUGUACCACCUAGUAUCGUUUUAAUCGAUGGGGGGACGCAGUAGGAUAGGCGAAGCGUGCUGUUGGAGUGCACGUCCAAGCAGUAAGGCUGAGUGUUAGGCAAAUCCGGCACUCAUAAGGCUGAGCUGUGAUGGGGAGAGGAAAUUGUUUCCUCGAGUCGUUGAUUUCACACUGCCGAGAAAAGCCUCUAGAUAGAUAACAGGUGCCCGUACCGCAAACCGACACAGGUAGUCAAGAUGAGAAUUCUAAGGUGAGCGAGCGAACUCUCGUUAAGGAACUCGGCAAAAUGACCCCGUAACUUCGGGAGAAGGGGUGCUCUUUAGGGUUCACGCCCAGAAGAGCCGCAGUGAAUAGGCCCAAGCGACUGUUUAUCAAAAACACAGGUCUCUGCUAAACCGUAAGGUGAUGUAUAGGGGCUGACGCCUGCCCGGUGCUGGAAGGUUAAGAGGAGUGGUUAGCUUCUGCGAAGCUACGAAUCGAAGCCCCAGUAAACGGCGGCCGUAACUAUAACGGUCCUAAGGUAGCGAAAUUCCUUGUCGGGUAAGUUCCGACCCGCACGAAAGGCGUAACGAUUUGGGCACUGUCUCAACGAGAGACUCGGUGAAAUCAUAGUACCUGUGAAGAUGCAGGUUACCCGCGACAGGACGGAAAGACCCCGUGGAGCUUUACUGUAGCCUGAUAUUGAAAUUCGGCACAGCUUGUACAGGAUAGGUAGGAGCCUUUGAAACGUGAGCGCUAGCUUACGUGGAGGCGUUGGUGGGAUACUACCCUAGCUGUGUUGGCUUUCUAACCCGCACCACUUAUCGUGGUGGGAGACAGUGUCAGGCGGGCAGUUUGACUGGGGCGGUCGCCUCCUAAAAGGUAACGGAGGCGCUCAAAGGUUCCCUCAGAAUGGUUGGAAAUCAUUCAUAGAGUGUAAAGGCAUAAGGGAGCUUGACUGCGAGACCUACAAGUCGAGCAGGGUCGAAAGACGGACUUAGUGAUCCGGUGGUUCCGCAUGGAAGGGCCAUCGCUCAACGGAUAAAAGCUACCCCGGGGAUAACAGGCUUAUCUCCCCCAAGAGUUCACAUCGACGGGGAGGUUUGGCACCUCGAUGUCGGCUCAUCGCAUCCUGGGGCUGUAGUCGGUCCCAAGGGUUGGGCUGUUCGCCCAUUAAAGCGGUACGCUAGCUGGGUUCAGAACGUCGUGAGACAGUUCGGUCCCUAUCCGUCGUGGGCGUAGGAAAUUUGAGAGGAGCUGUCCUUAGUACGAGAGGACCGGGAUGGACAUACCUCUGGUGUACCAGUUGUCGUGCCAACGGCAUAGCUGGGUAGCUAUGUAUGGACGGGAUAAGUGCUGAAAGCAUCUAAGCAUGAAGCCCCCCUCAAGAUGAGAUUUCCCAACUUCGGUUAUAAGAUCCCUCGAAGAUGACGAGGUUAAUAGGUUCGAGGUGGAAGCGUGGUGACACGUGGAGCUGACGAAUACUAAUCGAUCGAAGACUUAAUCAAUUUUUAAA